CAAUAGCGUAUAUUUAAGUUGUUGCAGUUAAAAAGCUCGUAGUUGGAUUUCGGAUGGGACUUGCCGGUCCGUCGUUUCGAUGUGCACUGGCCAGUCCUGUCUUGUUGUCGGGGACUAGCUCCUGGGCUUCACUGUCCGGGACUAGGAGCUGACGAGGUUACUUUGAGUAAAUUAGAGUGUUCAAAGCAAGCCUACGCUCUGAAUACAUUAGCAUGGAAUAACACGAUAGGACUCUGGCUUAUCUUGUUGGUCUGUGAGACCAGAGUAAUGAUUAAGAGGGACAGUCGGGGGCAUUCGUAUUUCAUUGUCAGAGGUGAAAUUCUUGGAUUUAUGAAAGACGAACUUCUGCGAAAGCAUUUGUCAAGGAUGUUUNCAUUAA
Molecule: ribosomal RNA, 379 nt
Filed under: uncultured eukaryote
Lineage: Eukaryota
Description: partial 18S ribosomal RNA
Rfam family: Eukaryotic small subunit ribosomal RNA
Source: RNAcentral